This 422-nucleotide ribosomal RNA is filed under the name uncultured bacterium. Its description in RNAcentral is "bacterial SSU rRNA". It matches the Rfam family "Bacterial small subunit ribosomal RNA", at positions 355 to 774 of the family's 1533-position model. The record is from RNAcentral.
CAACGAAUCUUCCCCAAUGCCGGAAACGGUGAGGGAGCGACGCCGCGUGUGGGACGAAGUCCUUCGGGAUGUAAACCACUGUAAGGGUCAUGAAUGGUUAGGGGCUAAUCACCCGAAGCUUGAUCUGAUCCCUAAAAGGGGCGGCUAACUCUGUGCCAGCAGCCGCGGUAAUACAGAGGCCCCAAGCGUUACUGAGAAUCACUGGGUUUAAAGGGUGCGUAGGUGGUCCGUUAAGUCUGUUGUGAAAUCCCCGGGCUCAACCCGGGAAUUGCUUCGGAUACUGGCGGACUUGAGGCCGGUAAGGGUCACGGGAACUGACGGUGGAGCGGUGAAAUGCGUAGAUAUCGUCAGGAACGCCGGUGGUGAAGACGGGUGACUGGGCCGGUUCUGACACUGAGGCACGAAAGCGUGGGGAGCGAACG